Molecule: non-coding RNA, 115 nt
Filed under: Bacillus sp. (in: firmicutes)
Lineage: Bacteria; Bacillati; Bacillota; Bacilli; Caryophanales; Bacillaceae
Also listed under: 1 other name
Description: Bacillus sp. SAM-I sequence
Rfam family: SAM riboswitch aptamer (S box leader)
About the family: The SAM riboswitch is found upstream of a number of genes which code for proteins involved in methionine or cysteine biosynthesis in Gram-positive bacteria. The SAM riboswitch acts at the level of transcription termination control.
Source: RNAcentral
UUCUUAUCAAGAGAGGUUUAGGGAAUUGGCCCGUUGACGCCUCAGCAACCUUCAUUGCCCAGAACAAUGAAAAGGUGCUAACUCCAUCAAGUUUUAAUAACUUGAAAGAUAAGAA